RNAcentral lists this ribosomal RNA (327 nucleotides) under uncultured eukaryote. RNAcentral's name for it is "partial 18S ribosomal RNA". It matches the Rfam family "Eukaryotic small subunit ribosomal RNA", at positions 1470 to 1796 of the family's 1831-position model. The record is from RNAcentral.
CCCUUAGAUGUUCUGGGCCGCACACGCGCUACACUGAAGGAGGCAGCGUGUACUCCUGGAUCGAAAGAUUUGGGUAACCCGCGAAUCUCCUUCGUGCUAGGGAUUGAGGUUUGCAAUUAUCCUUCAUGAACGAGGAAUUCCCAGUAAGUGCAAGUCAUAAGCUUGCGCUGACUACGUACCUGCCCUUUGUACACACCGCCCGUCGCUACUACCGAUUGAAUGAUUUAGUGAGGACUUCGGACUGGGACCGAUGCGGCUUUCGGGCUGCGUCGGUAUUCUGGAAAGAUGUCCAAACUGUAUCAUUUAGAGGAAGUAAAAGUCGUAACA